UGGUCAUACUCAGUACUAGUAUUCUCUAACAACUAUCCACACUCAUCGCCCAGUGUCUCUACACUAUAGACUAGAGAUCCAUCUAUUCCGAAGAAAAUGAUCUGUGCGUCAGUCUAUCUAGAUCGAUCACCAUCCUCAUGAUAAUCCUAUGAUCGGGAGCAUUUAGAAAUUAAAUAUAUGUCUCUAAUUUUUAACACCUUGAGAAUAUGUAUCGAAAGUUAAUUCCAUGGAUGAUUCAAGGAU
Molecule: long non-coding RNA, 243 nt
Filed under: Elaeis guineensis (African oil palm)
Lineage: Eukaryota; Viridiplantae; Streptophyta; Magnoliopsida; Arecales; Arecaceae
Description: long non-coding RNA (EGUI_LNC054551)
Source: RNAcentral